CCUACGGGUGGCAGCAGUGAGGAAUAUUGGUCAAUGGGCGCGAGCCUGAACCAGCCAAGUCGCGUGAGGGAAGACGGUCCUAUGGAUUGUAAACCUCUUUUGUCGGGGAGCAAAAGACGCCACGCGUGGCGUUCCGAGAGUACCCGAAGAAAAAGCAUCGGCUAACUCCGUGCCAGCAGCCGCGGUAAUACGGAGGAUGCGAGCGUUAUCCGGAGUUAUUGGGUUUAAAGGGUGCGCAGGCGGAAGAUCAAGUCAGCGGUAAAAUUGAGGGGCUCAACCCCUUCGAGCCGUUGAAACUGGUUUGCUUGAGUGAGAGAGAAGUAUGCGGAAUGCGUGGUGUAGCGGUGAAAUGCAUAGAUAUCACGCAGAACUCCGAUUGCGAAGGCAGCAUACCGGCGCUCAACUGACGCUCAGGCACGAAAGUGUGGGUAUCGAACAGGAUUAGAUACCCUAGUAGUC
Molecule: ribosomal RNA, 459 nt
Filed under: uncultured bacterium
Lineage: Bacteria
Description: partial 16S ribosomal RNA
Rfam family: Bacterial small subunit ribosomal RNA
Source: RNAcentral